Molecule: ribosomal RNA, 503 nt
Filed under: Alternaria sp. ZZDJ5
Lineage: Eukaryota; Fungi; Ascomycota; Dothideomycetes; Pleosporales; Pleosporaceae
Description: eukaryotic LSU rRNA
Rfam family: 5.8S ribosomal RNA (bases 189-342)
Source: RNAcentral
GUGAACCUGCGGAGGGAUCAUUACACAAAUAUGAAGGCGGGCUGGAACCUCUCGGGGUUACAGCCUUGCUGAAUUAUUCACCCUUGUCUUUUGCGUACUUCUUGUUUCCUUGGUGGGUUCGCCCACCACUAGGACAAACAUAAACCUUUUGUAAUUGCAAUCAGCGUCAGUAACAAAUUAAUAAUUACAACUUUCAACAACGGAUCUCUUGGUUCUGGCAUCGAUGAAGAACGCAGCGAAAUGCGAUAAGUAGUGUGAAUUGCAGAAUUCAGUGAAUCAUCGAAUCUUUGAACGCACAUUGCGCCCUUUGGUAUUCCAAAGGGCAUGCCUGUUCGAGCGUCAUUUGUACCCUCAAGCUUUGCUUGGUGUUGGGCGUCUUGUCUCUAGCUUUGCUGGAGACUCGCCUUAAAGUAAUUGGCAGCCGGCCUACUGGUUUCGGAGCGCAGCACAAGUCGCACUCUCUAUCAGCAAAGGUCUAGCAUCCAUUAAGCCUUUUUUCAACU